UUAAAUUGAAGAGUUUGAUCAUGGCUCAGAUUGAACGCUGGCGGCAGGCCUAACACAUGCAAGUCGAACGGUAACAGGAAGCAGCUUGCUGCUUUGCUGACGAGUGGCGGACGGGUGAGUAAUGUCUGGGAAACUGCCUGAUGGAGGGGGAUAACUACUGGAAACGGUGGCUAAUACCGCAUAACGUCGCAAGACCAAAGAGGGGGACCUUCGGGCCUCUUGCCAUCAGAUGUGCCCAGAUGGGAUUAGCUAGUUGGUGAGGUAACGGCUCACCAAGGCGACGAUCCCUAGCUGGUCUGAGAGGAUGACCAGCCACACUGGAACUGAGACACGGUCCAGACUCCUACGGGAGGCAGCAGUGGGGAAUAUUGCACAAUGGGCGCAAGCCUGAUGCAGCCAUGCCGCGUGUAUGAAGAAGGCCUUCGGGUUGUAAAGUACUUUCAGCGGGGAGGAAGGUGUUGUGGUUAAUAACCGCAGCAAUUGACGUUACCCGCAGAAGAAGCACCGGCUAACUCCGUGCCAGCAGCCGCGGUAAUACGGAGGGUGCAAGCGUUAAUCGGAAUUACUGGGCGUAAAGCGCACGCAGGCGGUCUGUCAAGUCGGAUGUGAAAUCCCCGGGCUCAACCUGGGAACUGCAUUCGAAACUGGCAGGCUUGAGUCUUGUAGAGGGGGGUAGAAUUCCAGGUGUAGCGGUGAAAUGCGUAGAGAUCUGGAGGAAUACCGGUGGCGAAGGCGGCCCCCUGGACAAAGACUGACGCUCAGGUGCGAAAGCGUGGGGAGCAAACAGGAUUAGAUACCCUGGUAGUCCACGCCGUAAACGAUGUCUACUUGGAGGUUGUGCCCUUGAGGCGUGGCUUCCGGAGCUAACGCGUUAAGUAGACCGCCUGGGGAGUACGGCCGCAAGGUUAAAACUCAAAUGAAUUGACGGGGGCCCGCACAAGCGGUGGAGCAUGUGGUUUAAUUCGAUGCAACGCGAAGAACCUUACCUGGUCUUGACAUCCACAGAACUUUCCAGAGAUGGAUUGGUGCCUUCGGGAACUGUGAGACAGGUGCUGCAUGGCUGUCGUCAGCUCGUGUUGUGAAAUGUUGGGUUAAGUCCCGCAACGAGCGCAACCCUUAUCCUUUGUUGCCAGCGGUCCGGCCGGGAACUCAAAGGAGACUGCCAGUGAUAAACUGGAGGAAGGUGGGGAUGACGUCAAGUCAUCAUGGCCCUUACGACCAGGGCUACACACGUGCUACAAUGGCGCAUACAAAGAGAAGCGACCUCGCGAGAGCAAGCGGACCUCAUAAAGUGCGUCGUAGUCCGGAUUGGAGUCUGCAACUCGACUCCAUGAAGUCGGAAUCGCUAGUAAUCGUGGAUCAGAAUGCCACGGUGAAUACGUUCCCGGGCCUUGUACACACCGCCCGUCACACCAUGGGAGUGGGUUGCAAAAGAAGUAGGUAGCUUAACCUUCGGGAGGGCGCUUACCACUUUGUGAUUCAUGACUGGGGUGAAGUCGUAACAAGGUAACCGUAGGGGAACCUGCGGUUGGAUCACCUCCUUACCUUAAAGAA
This 1554-nucleotide ribosomal RNA is filed under the name Salmonella enterica subsp. enterica serovar Rubislaw str. ATCC 10717. RNAcentral describes it as "bacterial SSU rRNA". It matches the Rfam family "Bacterial small subunit ribosomal RNA". The record is from RNAcentral. Lineage: Bacteria; Pseudomonadati; Pseudomonadota; Gammaproteobacteria; Enterobacterales; Enterobacteriaceae.